GAGAGCAGGAGAGAACCAAACUGUUGUGUAGGCCCUCUCCUAAUCAAUGGAUCACUUUGCUUUUGAAUAAAAUCUGUGAAAGAAAUGGGGAAAAAGGCCACAAAAUACCACCUAGAAACAUAUUUUAUGACAAAGAAACAGGGUGCACCAAACCCAGGCUUCAGUGAGAAAAGAUGGUUGAGUGAACACUACAGCUGUGGAGCUUGUAAAGUUUUCAGGCAGAUUCUGUGGUGGCAGACUGUCACAUCCCUUAGUGGCCACAAUUCCAAAUUCUCAGCGUUUGGAGAUUCAUAUUUUCCCAAACUAUUUGGAUUUCUCCAUCAAGAAAACACUGCUUGCCACCAACUUUCUCUGCAUUGUAAAUGGCCCACAGAUUCAGAAUAGAAUUGGAGAGGUUUGAAACAACCCUGAAGAACAUUGAGUCAAACUAACCCAGCAUGGCCAAACCCACCACUAAAGCAUGAUGAACAGUUCCAGGGAUGGUCACUGCACCAUUUCUCUGUUCCAAUUGAGAGGUUUUUUUCCUGAUAUCCAAUCUAAACCUCUUGUAGUUGUUUCCUCUCCUCCUGUCCCUUGUUACCUGGGAGGCUGCCCCCUCCUUGCAGGUGGAUGCAACUGUCUGGAUGAUGUCUGUUUAGAAAAUUUUAAAAAGAAACAGCAAUCUGUGGAUGUGAGGUUUGGGCAGAGAGGCUGGCUGUAACCUCUGCACUUUAAAUACUGACAGCAACGGGCUUUUCCCUCACUGCAUUUCUAGUUUUCCUAGUUUUCCUCCUAAGGUGUUUUCCUAGUCUUCCUCCUAAGGUUAAGGCACCAGCUAUUUUCUUUUCUUUAAAUGCAGAGAUUAGCUGCAGAACCCUUUGUUGAUCAAGCUUGAGAGAAGCCUACAACAGUCCAGAAAGUUCACUUUGAUGUGGCUUUCUGUUCCUUAUGAGUGAGAGUUUCAAGGAAAUUUAAAUAUUUUAGGGUAGAGGCAGAGCUGAAAUUCCUAUGUGCUUACACUGGCUCUAUUGGUAUCUCUCACAGC
This 1024-nucleotide long non-coding RNA is filed under the name Zonotrichia albicollis (white-throated sparrow). RNAcentral's name for it is "lncRNA (ENSZALG00000017840.1)". Lineage: Eukaryota; Metazoa; Chordata; Aves; Passeriformes; Passerellidae. The record is from RNAcentral.